AUUGAACGCUGGCGGCAGGCCUAACACAUGCAAGUCGAGCGGUAGCACAGGAGAGCUUGCUCUCCGGGUGACGAGCGGCGGACGGGUGAGUAAUGUCUGGGAAACUGCCUGAUGGAGGGGGAUAACUACUGGAAACGGUAGCUAAUACCGCAUAACGUCGCAAGACCAAAGAGGGGGACCUUCGGGCCUCUUGCCAUCAGAUGUGCCCAGAUGGGAUUAGCUAGUAGGUGGGGUAACGGCUCACCUAGGCGACGACCCCUAGCUGGUCUGAGAGGAUGACCAGCCACACUGGAACUGAGACACGGUCCAGACUCCUACGGGAGGCAGCAGUGGGGAAUAUUGCUCAUUGGGCGCAAGCCUGAUGCAGCCAUGCCGCGUGUAUGAAAGAAGGCCUUCGGGUUGUAAAAUCUUUCCGCGGGGGAGGAGGGGGUUGAGGGCCAAUU
This 443-nucleotide ribosomal RNA is filed under the name uncultured Enterobacteriaceae bacterium. RNAcentral describes it as "bacterial SSU rRNA". It matches the Rfam family "Bacterial small subunit ribosomal RNA", at positions 30 to 464 of the family's 1533-position model. Lineage: Bacteria; Pseudomonadati; Pseudomonadota; Gammaproteobacteria; Enterobacterales; Enterobacteriaceae. The record is from RNAcentral.